This is a long non-coding RNA of Physella acuta, 279 nucleotides long. RefSeq lists it as uncharacterized. The record is from RefSeq and is a predicted model, not a curated record. Lineage: Eukaryota; Metazoa; Mollusca; Gastropoda; Physidae.
CGCUACUGUAUCUGUGACAGCUGGGUCCCCAACCCCAAAACCAAGGUGUGCUACAUCGUCAAGUCAGUGGUACCCACCACAGGGCCUCGAACCCGCACCAUGCUGUACCACUUAAUUCGCAGUUUCCGCGAGCUUCACAUGAUCAUUGGCUGUUUCUUGUCCUUGCCUUCCAGCAACUUCAACAAAAAAGACCACGGUUUCCUUACUCUGGUGAUAAUCCUGUUCACGAUGACCGUCUGUCUGUGGACAGCCGGCUCCUUCCAGGCGGAGCUAGAAGGG